GACAGGAUUCACAGGUAGAUAAUGAUUCACAAUCAUCUAUCUCAAGGACAUGUUCUUGAUCAAUUUGUCAAUCUGACUCUUGUUCAUAUGACUAAGCCUACAAUGCCAAAGAUAGGAUUCACUGAUAUUAUCUGAUUUAGGAUAUUUACUGGGUGUGUACAUUACACUAACAGAUCGUGAUAUUAUGUAUAUGCCAUGUUUCAAUUAUGCACGU
This 214-nucleotide long non-coding RNA is filed under the name Elaeis guineensis (African oil palm). RNAcentral describes it as "long non-coding RNA (EGUI_LNC018663)". Lineage: Eukaryota; Viridiplantae; Streptophyta; Magnoliopsida; Arecales; Arecaceae. The record is from RNAcentral.